CUCCUUUAGUAGUUUUUCCUUAAAUUGGGCCCACCUGGCAAUCUAAUAAUCACAGGUGUCCGAGAUUGGUUUCAGCGCUCAAAAGAGCCCUGAGACACAAUGCCAUCCAUGAGUUAAACUGAAAAACUAAAUAUUUAAUCUUUGUGACACUUAAAUAGAAUUUGCAUAAUAAUUUGGAACAAGGUGUAAUGAUAAUUUGAGAAUAUAUCUCCAGCCAAAUCCAUUUGGUAACCAUUUUUGCCUAAUAUUGGUGCUUGCUGUGUAUUCUGGACCUUCUACAAAUUGGGUCUCCAG
Pelobates cultripes (western spadefoot toad) is the source of this 294-nucleotide non-coding RNA. NCBI's taxonomy places the organism in Eukaryota, Metazoa, Chordata, Amphibia, Anura, Pelobatidae. The record is from the annotation of a GenBank genome assembly.